CCGAAAGAAGGAUACAAAAAAGCGGAGAUAAACAACAUAAUACCAGCCAAAAUAUACAAAAAAAAAAGACAAAUACAUAACUAUGGCGGAUACAAUUGGUUCUGAGAACAAAGAGAAGUCUUUAUAUUUGAUACAAAUUCAAUAUCUGGAGGAGCAGUUGGAGAGAUGCCAGCUUAAAUAUGACGAGCUGGAGAAACAGAACAAGGACCUGGCCCAUCAGUACGGUACUCUGGAGAAGGACAAGAAAGACACCACUCAGCACCUGAUACGCUCCGUGGAUGCAAACCAAAAGAAGGUGGAUAAGCUGGCUGAGAUGCUGGAGAGUGAGCAGCAGGAUGCCGAACAGGACAGAGACACCAUGGAGCUGCAGCACAGCUCGCUCAUGCAGGACCAGAUCAACACAUUUUACUUAGUGAAAAGGAAGAUGGUGGUUAGAGCUGAUAAGUGGCAUGAAAUGGAGGAGCAGCUGAUGCAGAAGAAGUCUGAAAUGGUAUCUCUGGAGGAACAGCUGGUCAGCCAGAGGGAAGAGCAUGAAGCUGCCAUCAACAGCCUGAUGAAUAAAAACUUGGAGGGGGAACGGUAAAGUCUAGGACAGAGUUAGCGUUACAUCCGCAGGGACAUUUUUCAUGCUGAUCUUCUUCGUUGAUGUUUGAUGGUUGCUUCAAAACGUCAGUAAAUGUUUUCCCUGUCCUCCAACUACAGGGAGAUAAUGGAGAGGCAGAACACAGUGGACGAAUGCAUUGAGAGCAAGACCUUAAAGAUUCUUUGGGAGGAGAGAGAUCAUCACAGCGAGCAGCUGAAGCAGCUCCAGUUCCUCCUGUACAAAAACGUGGUCCUGCUGAAGGAGAACGACAUCCUGCAAGACAAAAAAAUGGAUCUUUGCUUUGAGAGCAACCACCUGAAGGAAGGUCUCAACAGGAUUACCCUGGAAAGCUUUAUCUUCAAGAAGGAGGAGCAGCAGCUGAUGAAGGAGUUGCAGAAGGUGAAGGUGGAGCGAGAAGACUUUAUCAUCGCCCACAAGAGCAUGCUGGCCGAGAAAGAGGCUCUCAGAGAGCAAGUGGCCUCAGUGUCCAAGGAGAGCCGCCGUAAAACAGCCGAGGCAGAUCAGCUGAGGGCCGAGUUCCAGAUGGAGAGCAGCAGGAUAAGGCAGCUGGAGGGCGUUAUGCAGGAAGCAGUCAUCAUUCUCCGCCACAUCAUGACGGUAAAAACACACAGUCCUUUCAGGAGCAUCAGGACGGCUGCUUUAGUUCCCGCUGGAGCGUACUGAUGGCUUGAAAUGAAAUCCUGCAGCUCUGAAAUGUCAUACUUUCUGAGGGAGCUGUAUUCCAGAGAGCGAAGAGGAGUCAUUGGUUAUUGGUUCAAUUUACCCUCUGCUGUUCAGACAAACAUCCAGCAGUGGAAGAAGUAUUCAGAUCCUUUAUUAAGGAUCCUUAGCAAGUCAAAAA
Molecule: long non-coding RNA, 1445 nt
Filed under: Cottoperca gobio
Lineage: Eukaryota; Metazoa; Chordata; Actinopteri; Perciformes; Bovichtidae
Description: lncRNA (ENSCGOG00000008310.1)
Source: RNAcentral